UACGGGGGGGCAAGCGUUGUUCGGAAUUACUGGGCGUAAAGCGCGCGUAGGCGGUGAUCUUUGUCAGAGGUGAAAUCCCGAGGCUCAACUUCGGAAUUGCCUUUGAAACGGGAUCGCUUGAGUCCGAGAGAGGAUGGCGGAAUUCCUAGUGUAGAGGUGAAAUUCGUAGAUAUUAGGAAGAACACCGGUGGCGAAGGCGGCCAUCUGGCUCGGUACUGACGCUCAGGCGCGAAAGCGUGGGGAGCAAACAGG
RNAcentral lists this ribosomal RNA (252 nucleotides) under uncultured bacterium. RNAcentral's name for it is "partial 16S ribosomal RNA". It matches the Rfam family "Bacterial small subunit ribosomal RNA", at positions 524 to 776 of the family's 1533-position model. The record is from RNAcentral.